RNAcentral lists this long non-coding RNA (324 nucleotides) under Fukomys damarensis (Damara mole-rat). RNAcentral's name for it is "lncRNA (ENSFDAG00000028141.1)". Lineage: Eukaryota; Metazoa; Chordata; Mammalia; Rodentia; Bathyergidae. The record is from RNAcentral.
UGAACAGCUCCUUGGCUGCCUUUCCCCAUUCACCCAUCACAUGCUUAAUGUGCAUCCAAAAGUCUGCAGCGCAUCUCACUGUUUCCAUUUCUUGUAAUCCUCGCAUUACACUGGCCUCUUGUACACCUGAAAACUACAUUCAACUCAUCUUCCCGUGAUCCCGCAUUUCCCACUCACUUCCUAAAUCUAUGUUCUUGAACCCACUUGAACCUCAAACUUCGUAAAGCCAAGUCUAGCAAAGAGUUUAGGCGGAGGGAGAGGACAUUGUCACUGAAGCUAGUUCAGGGCAGGAGCAGACGCGCCAGCCCUAAACCAACAGACGGA